AUGGAACAAUCAAAAAUUAUAGAUACGUUGGAGACGUAUCUGUUAGCAAUUGCCGCAUUUUAUGAUUAUGAAAUUUGGCAAAUGGAUGUCAAAACUGCAUUCCUUCUUGGAUUUAUGGAAGAAGAGUUGUAUAUGAUGCAACCGGAAGGUUUUGUCGAUCCAAAGGGAGCUAACAAAGUGUGCAAGCUCCAGCGAUCCAUUUAUGGACUGGUGCAAGCCUCUCGGAGUUGGAAUAAAUGUUUUGAUAGUGUGAUCAAAGCAUAUGGUUUUAUACAGACUUUUGGAGAAGUCUGUAUUUACAAGAAAGUGAGUGGGAGCUCUGUAGCAUUUCUGAUAUUAUAUGUCGAUGACAUAUUGUUGAUUGGAAAUGAUAUAGAAUUUCUGGAUAGCAUAAAAGGAUAUUUGAAUAAGAGUUUUUCAAUGAAAGACCUCGGAGAAGCUGCUUAUAUAUUGGGCAUCAAGAUCUAUAGAGAUAGAUCGAGACGCUUAAUUGGUUUUUCACAAAGCACAUACCUUGACAAAGUUUUGAAGAAGUUCAAAAUGGAUCAAGCAAAGAAAGGGUUCUUGCCUGUGUUCCAAGGUGUGAAGUUCAGUAAGACUCAAUGCCCGACCAGUGCAGAAGAUAGAGAGAAAAUGAGAGAUGUUCCCUAUGCUUCAGCCAUAGGCUCUAUCAUGUAUGCAAUGCUGUGUACCAGACCUGAUGUGUGCUAUGCUAUUAGUUUAGCAGGGAGGUACCAAAGUAAUCCAGGAGUAGAUUACUGGAUAGCGGUCAAGAACAUCCUGAAAUACCUGCAAAGGAUGAAGGAUAUGUUUCUUGUUUAUGAAGGUGACAAAGAGCUCGUCGUAAAUGGUUACGUCGAUGCA
Molecule: ribosomal RNA, 864 nt
Filed under: Triticum aestivum (bread wheat)
Lineage: Eukaryota; Viridiplantae; Streptophyta; Magnoliopsida; Poales; Poaceae
Description: partial small subunit ribosomal RNA
Source: RNAcentral